RNAcentral lists this non-coding RNA (156 nucleotides) under bovine gut metagenome. The record is from RNAcentral.
AAACCGACGACGAUUAAAAGGGAAUCGGGUGUAAAUCCCGGACAGUCCCGCUGCUGUAAGCUCCGCCAAAGUCGUUUCCAAAUCCCCUGCCACUGUCCUCUGAGGAUGGGAAGGCCGCGAAACGACGGAGUAAGUCAGAAGACCUGCCAAUUUUCG